Molecule: small nucleolar RNA, 81 nt
Organism: Benincasa hispida (wax gourd)
Lineage: Eukaryota; Viridiplantae; Streptophyta; Magnoliopsida; Cucurbitales; Cucurbitaceae
Product: small nucleolar RNA snoR113
Source: RefSeq, a predicted model, not a curated record
UGGCAACGAUGAAUCAAAAGCCGGACUUACGGCUGCUUCCGUUUGGACGGUAGUAGAUUGAUAAUAUAAUUAAAAAGUCAU